This 205-nucleotide long non-coding RNA is filed under the name Mytilus galloprovincialis (Mediterranean mussel). Lineage: Eukaryota; Metazoa; Mollusca; Bivalvia; Mytilida; Mytilidae. The record is from RNAcentral.
GGGCCUUUUAUAGCUGACUAUGCGGUAUGGACUUUGCUCAUUGUUGAAGGCCGUACGGUGACCCAUAGUUGUUAAUUUCUGUGUCAUUUUGGUCUCUUGUGGACGGUUGUCUCAUUGGCAAUCAUACCACAUCUUCUUUUUUAUAUUAUGAUAAUAAUCUUGAUAAAAGGAUGCCAGAGUGGUAAUUCAAAACAAACUAACAGAC